AAGCCUCUGCAGGAAACGAGAACCCGUCCCAGUGCUUCCUUUCCUAUGUUUAGAUAUUACGGGAGCUGGAUUAAGCCGGGGAAGUGCCAGGCGCUUUCAAGCGUUAGGCGUGAACCCGGUGACCGGCACCCACCUUGACUUAAAAGGUUAAGGAGCCUUUAGCGCGGAACGUCCCAUGUGGAGGCUUU
This 188-nucleotide non-coding RNA is filed under the name Puniceicoccales bacterium. Its description in RNAcentral is "6S RNA". It matches the Rfam family "6S / SsrS RNA". From Rfam's summary of the family: E. coli 6S RNA was the first non coding RNA to be sequenced, but its function was unknown until recently. It consists of 184 nucleotides that fold into an extended hairpin structure with a large single-stranded internal bulge. The record is from RNAcentral. Lineage: Bacteria; Pseudomonadati; Verrucomicrobiota; Opitutia; Puniceicoccales.